This 186-nucleotide non-coding RNA is filed under the name Deltaproteobacteria bacterium RIFOXYA12_FULL_61_11. RNAcentral's name for it is "6S RNA". It matches the Rfam family "6S / SsrS RNA". From Rfam's summary of the family: E. coli 6S RNA was the first non coding RNA to be sequenced, but its function was unknown until recently. It consists of 184 nucleotides that fold into an extended hairpin structure with a large single-stranded internal bulge. The record is from RNAcentral. Lineage: Bacteria; Deltaproteobacteria.
UUGUCUCUGCGGACGAUGGGGAAAACGUAUUGCUAUGCCCGAUAGGAUAACGUACGGGAUUUGUCCCUUGUUGCGGUGUGCAUGCCUGCCGGUUCGCCGUUGUAGGAAGCCUGAUGCAGCAAUUACGAAGCCCACUUUGUAAAGGGGGCGUAUCAAAUCCGAUCCCAUCUCACCCGCAGAGACUUU